GACGAACGCUGGCGGCGUGCCUAACACAUGCAAGUCGAACGGAACUGUUUUGAAAGCUUUCUUCGGAAUGAAUUUGAUUUAGUUUAGUGGCGGACGGGUGAGUAACGCGUGAGUAACCUGCCUUCAAGAGGGGAAUAACAUUCUGAAAAGAAUGCUAAUACCGCAUGACAUAUCGGAACCACAUGGUUUUGAUAUCAAAGAUUUUAUCGCUUGUAGAUGGACUCGCGUCCGAUUAGUUAGUUGGUGAGGUAACGGCUCACCAAGACCGCGAUCGGUAGCCGGACUGAGAGGUUGAACGGCCACAUUGGGACUGAGACACGGCCCAGACUCCUACGGGAGGCAGCAGUGGGGGAUAUUGCGCAAUGGGGGCAACCCUGACGCAGCAACGCCGCGUGAAGGAUGAAGGUUUUCGGAUUGUAAACUUCUUUUAUUAAGGACGAAAAAUGACGGUACUUAAUGAAUAAGCUCCGGCUAACUACGUG
RNAcentral lists this ribosomal RNA (482 nucleotides) under uncultured bacterium. RNAcentral's name for it is "partial 16S ribosomal RNA". It matches the Rfam family "Bacterial small subunit ribosomal RNA", at positions 28 to 507 of the family's 1533-position model. The record is from RNAcentral.